GCUCAGUCAGUUAAACGUCUGACUCCUGAUUUUAGCUCAGGCCAUAAUCACAGUUUGUGGGUUCGAGUCCUGCACUGGGCU
This 81-nucleotide transfer RNA is filed under the name Felis catus (domestic cat). It matches the Rfam family "tRNA". Rfam says of the family: Transfer RNA (tRNA) molecules are approximately 80 nucleotides in length. Lineage: Eukaryota; Metazoa; Chordata; Mammalia; Carnivora; Felidae. RNAcentral also lists the same sequence under 1 other name. The record is from Rfam by way of RNAcentral.